UAAGGAAUAUUGGUCAAUGGAGGCAACUCUGAACCAGCCAUGCCGCGUGAAGGAUUAAGGCCCUCUGGGUUGUAAACUUCUUUUAUAUGGGAAGAAAUGUACUUUUUCUAAAGUGCUUGACGGUACCAUAGGAAUAAGCACCGGCUAACUCCGUGCCAGCAGCCGCGGUAAUACGGAGGGUGCAAGCGUUAUCCGGAUUUACUGGGUUUAAAGGGUGCGUAGGCGGAUGAAUAAGUCAGUGGUGAAAUCUCCGAGCUUAACUCGGAAACUGCCGUUGAUACUAUUUGUCUUGAAUAUUGUGGAGGUGAGCGGAAUAUGUCAUGUAGCGGUGAAAUGCUUAGAUAUGACAUAGAACACCAAUUGCGAAGGCAGCUUGCUACACAAUCAUUGACGCUGAGGCACGAAAGCGUGGGGAUCAAACA
Molecule: ribosomal RNA, 422 nt
Filed under: uncultured bacterium
Lineage: Bacteria
Description: bacterial SSU rRNA
Rfam family: Bacterial small subunit ribosomal RNA
Source: RNAcentral